ACGCUGGCGGCGUGCUUAACACAUGCAAGUCGAACGGAGUUCCUUGGAUAGAGGCUUCGGCCAAUUGAAUUGGAACUUAGUGGCGGACUGGUGAGUAACGCGUGAGGAACCUGCCUUUCAGAGGGGGACAACAGUUGGAAACGACUGCUAAUACCGCAUAAGACCACAGUACCGCAUGGUACAGUGAUAAAAACUCCGGUGGUAUGAGAUGGACCCGCGUUGGAUUAGCUAGUUGGUGAGGUAGUGGCUCACCAAGGCGACGAUCCAUAGCCGGCCUGAGAGGGUGGACGGCCACAUUGGGACUGAGACACGGCCCAGACUCCUACGGGAGGCAGCAGUGGGGAAUAUUGCACAAUGGGGGAAACCCUGAUGCAGCGACGCCGCGUGGAGGAAGAAGGUCUUCGGAUUGUAAACUCCUGUUGUCAAGGACGAUAAUGACGGUACUUGACAAGAAAGCCACGGCUAACUACGUG
This 473-nucleotide ribosomal RNA is filed under the name uncultured bacterium. RNAcentral describes it as "bacterial SSU rRNA". It matches the Rfam family "Bacterial small subunit ribosomal RNA", at positions 33 to 507 of the family's 1533-position model. The record is from RNAcentral.